AGGAGCGAAGUAUCUUUGUACAUUUUAGUUACAUUAAAAAAGGCUCUGUUAUGAGCGCUCUUA
RNAcentral lists this transfer RNA (63 nucleotides) under Ellobium chinense. RNAcentral describes it as "tRNA-Val". Lineage: Eukaryota; Metazoa; Mollusca; Gastropoda; Ellobiida; Ellobiidae. The record is from RNAcentral.